Molecule: ribosomal RNA, 253 nt
Filed under: uncultured bacterium
Lineage: Bacteria
Description: partial 16S ribosomal RNA
Rfam family: Bacterial small subunit ribosomal RNA
Source: RNAcentral
UACGGGGGGGGCAAGCGUUGUUCGGAAUUACUGGGCGUAAAGCGCACGUAGGCGGACUCUUAAGUCAGGGGUGAAAUCCUGGAGCUCAACUCCAGAACUGCCUUUGAUACUGGGAGUCUUGAGUUCGGGAGAGGUGAGUGGAACUGCGAGUGUAGAGGUGAAAUUCGUAGAUAUUCGCAAGAACACCAGUGGCGAAGGCGGCUCACUGGCCCGAUACUGACGCUGAGGUGCGAAAGCGUGGGGAGCAAACAGG